Molecule: long non-coding RNA, 2265 nt
Filed under: Marmota monax (woodchuck)
Lineage: Eukaryota; Metazoa; Chordata; Mammalia; Rodentia; Sciuridae
Source: RNAcentral
AAUUAUUAGCAUUUUUAUUCAUUGUGUUACAUGGAUGUUAGAAAAAUAGUCUGUAUUCAUUCAGAGACUCCAUUUAGUCUGACUAGACAAUAAUAUAGUCCUGCAAUAAGGACAUAAUGUCUCUUUUCAUCUUUUAUCUUCCCAGGGUUGACAAUUUUCAGUUUUCUAUUUUAUUUUUCUAAGAAAAAUACUACUAUUUUUUUUUUUUUUUGUGUGUGUGUGUUUAAAUAUAGCUCAAUUGUAAUUGUCCAUUGAGGCAUAUAGGAAUUACAUUCUGAAGUCACAUUUCUGAAAGACAUUUCUCCUCUUACAACCAUUUUUAUAAAAAAAAAAAUAUUGACCCCCCGACAUUUCUUAUUUAUAGCAGGUACUUUACACACAACAGAGCAGAUAUUUUUUAGUCAUUGUCUCUUUUUUUGAAUAAUAUUUCUUCACUGUACAAAAUGCAUUACUUACCUUCUAAGCAAAUAACAAAAACUAGUCAGAACUGUGAAAUAAUGAAUCUGACAAUAUAGAGAAUUCUUAACUAACAUAAUGAUGCAAGUUGUUGAAUUUGAUCUAUAAAUCAUUUGAGAAUCAAUUUUUAUUCCCUGUAGACUGAAAGAGUGGAGAAAGGAUGCUUCUGAUAAGGCAGAGUGUUUUUCCAUCACUGUCUAGCAAUUAAAAACCUUUCUAUUUUAAACUCAAAAUUCUGUAUGGUUGGGAAGCUCCACGCCAUGCCAGGAUAGAAUUGCCUUAGCAUUUCUGCUAUUGAGUUUAGGUCUCCACUUUUAAGGUAUACACGUGCAUGUACUUCAUUAUCACUGACAACAACAAGAACACACAGCCCAAGUAGAUUUCAGUAUCAGUUUGGCAACACAGGGAAAAGCCAAGGUUGAUUUUUACAUGUGCUGUGAUCGUUUUACUACACAUUUUUCAUUUGGGUUAGAUUUUGUGGAUUAAGUUUUGUUCCCAACCUCCUGUCUUCUCAUUUCUAUAGCAGCUCUUUCACUCCUUAGGUACUUUUCUACUCAACAUAACAAAUCAGGUCUCCUUUUAAAAAAUGCUUCCUGAUCUCUGCCCCCCUUCCCUGCCUCCCCCGAAAAGUUUCUUUCACACUGAUGGCUUUCAGAAAAAUACUUACAGAAGCACACUCUUUGACUUUACUAUGAGGGUUUUCUAUCAACAGGACUAUACAUCCUAUUGAUGGACUAAUGCUGUGUGCUGGAAGUCUGGAAAACAGGACUACUUGUAUCAUAGGGUUAAUGGGAUGAUAGUGAAUUCAUAUAGAUAAAAAUACUUUAUAUUUGUUGGAUUCAGUUUUGAUCCAGGGAUAUUCUUUGGUUAUGCAGAACAGGAUCUGAAUGAUUUAAAAGGACAAAAUGUUUUUUGACUUCUCAGGUCAUCUGAAGAUAAGAUGUAAUUAAAGGAGGUAAAGAAGUAAAAGAAGGAAUGGGAUUAGUAAAGGCAGUUAUAGAAGAGUAUAUAGUUUAUAGAAGUAAUUACUGACUUUGAUAUGAAAACUGCUUCCUCUUUUAUAUGGGAUAUAACAGGGUAGCUGAAGGGCUAAAUUUAGUUUCUGCUGUUAGUUUUGAGGAAGAUAGAAGUUAAGUUCCUGCUCAACUAGUUGUUAAAGUGACCUCUGUCAAGUCUCCCAACCUUUUUUAAUCUCUGCCUGCAACAGAGUAAGAAUAAAAAUACUGUUGCUAUCAAUAUUGAAAUAAUUUUAUGUGAAGAUACUUUGUAAAUGGUAAACCUCUAGCUAAAUAUAUGGUGAUGACAAUAUUCCCGACCUCACUCUUCAAAGCCACCUAUGCAUUUCGUUCUGGGCUUAUGUUUUCAUGUUUCGGUUGGCAUGUAGACUCAGUUAAUGACCCAUUAGUACUCAAACCAAGUUUAAGUAUUUUUCUGGGCUUGCUCCCUUCAGAUGGUAAAUGCUGCUGGUUGGUCUAGUUUAUUGCAAAAUCUUAGAAGAAGACAGCAUACACAAUGAGAAGUUUGAUUUUCUGCUGGUUCAUUGGAGGAUGAAUGGUGGCUGAGAGGCAGCACAGAGGAACAAGUGGUGCUAGGGGUUCUUUCAUGCUUUCUGUCUUUGUCUAACUAAUCUGUUUCAUUGCCUUCAUGUGCCACAAUCACAGACCUCCUCAUAAUUUUGAGUAUUGUAUGAAGAGAAGAGAAAGGUUGUUUUACAAAUAGAUAAAUUAUGGAUGAAAUUUCAGUUAUAGUAUUAAAGGUGUAGUAAAUCUAAUCACCUACUUAGUUCUUACACAGUAGCUUAAAGUAAGA